AACCUAUACUGAGGGCACUUUGUCAAUAGGUCCUUGUAUCUCUCCCAUGCAUCAUAGAGUGUCUCUAGAUCCAUUUGCACAAAAGAAGAGAUAUCAUUCCUCAACUU
Molecule: small nucleolar RNA, 107 nt
Filed under: Gossypium arboreum
Lineage: Eukaryota; Viridiplantae; Streptophyta; Magnoliopsida; Malvales; Malvaceae
Description: Plant small nucleolar RNA R71
Rfam family: Plant small nucleolar RNA R71
About the family: R71 is a member of the C/D box family of snoRNAs containing the C (UGAUGA) and D (CUGA) box motifs. Multiple nearly identical copies of this snoRNA have been identified in Arabidopsis, and it is thought to function as a 2'-O-ribose methylation guide for 18S ribosomal RNA.
Source: Rfam by way of RNAcentral